CAGAUGACCAGCAUGGAUAAGAAGAACCUAGGAAAAGGGAAUAGAAUAUGCAAGGCACAUUCAAGAGUACUGACGUGGAAAAUCAAGAAUAUACUGAGUUACUGACGCUAAUAGCCAAAGUGAUAACUAAAAGCCUUUGAAGACCUCAGCAAACUAAUGAUCAAGGCUAAGGAAAUGGUGGAGUUAUCAAAAUCAAUUGCUAAUAAAAUUAAAGACAAACAAGGUGACAUCACAGAAGAUGAGACCAUCAGGUUUAAAUCCUACUUGCUGAGCAUGGGAAUAGCUAACCCAGUUACCAGAGAAACCUACGGCUCAGGCACACAGUACCACAUGCAGCUGGCCAAACAACUGGCUGGAAUAUUGCAGGUGCCUUUAGAGGUAAAAACUAAACCUAUGUGGUUUUUUAAAAACUGUAUUAAAUUAGCCCUAUGUCAUCAGAAAUGUUAACAAGAGCAUAACUACUUUCAUGAUAUGGUUAUUGUCAACUGACUUUUUUUUUUUCUUUCAGGUGUAUUAAAUAAGUUCAUUGUGCUUAUUA
This 538-nucleotide small RNA is filed under the name Pongo abelii (Sumatran orangutan). RNAcentral describes it as "processed transcript". Lineage: Eukaryota; Metazoa; Chordata; Mammalia; Primates; Hominidae. The record is from RNAcentral.